Molecule: ribosomal RNA, 1318 nt
Filed under: Beauveria bassiana
Lineage: Eukaryota; Fungi; Ascomycota; Sordariomycetes; Hypocreales; Cordycipitaceae
Description: SSU rRNA
Rfam family: Eukaryotic small subunit ribosomal RNA
Source: RNAcentral
AUUAUACAGCGAAACUGCGAAUGGCUCAUUAUAUAAGUUAUCGUUUAUUUGAUAGUACCUUACUACUUGGAUAACCGUGGUAAUUCUAGAGCUAAUACAUGCUGAAAAUCCCGACUUCGGAAGGGAGGUAUUUAUUAGAUUAAAAACCAAUGCCCUCUGGGCUCCUUGGUGAUUCAUAAUAACUUUUCGAAUCGCACGGCCUUGCGCCGGCGAUGGUUCAUUCAAAUUUCUUCCCUAUCAACUUUCGAUGUUUGGGUAUUGGCCAAACAUGGUCGCAACGGGUAACGGAGGGUUAGGGCUCGACCCCGGAGAAGGAGCCUGAGAAACGGCUACUACAUCCAAGGAAGGCAGCAGGCGCGCAAAUUACCCAAUCCCGAUUCGGGGAGGUAGUGACAAUAAAUACUGAUACAGGGCUCUUUUGGGUCUUGUAAUUGGAAUGAGUACAAUUUAAAUCUCUUAACGAGGAACAAUUGGAGGGCAAGUCUGGUGCCAGCAGCCGCGGUAAUUCCAGCUCCAAUAGCGUAUAUUAAAGUUGUUGUGGUUAAAAAGCUCGUAGUUGAACCUUGGGCCUGGCUGGCCGGUCCGCCUCACCGCGUGUACUGGUCCGGCCGGGCCUUUCCCUCUGUGGAACCUCAUGCCCUUCACUGGGUGUGGCGGGGAAACAGGACUUUUACUUUGAAAAAAUUAGAGUGCUCCAGGCAGGCCUAUGCUCGAAUACAUUAGCAUGGAAUAAUAAAAUAGGACGCGUGGUUCUAUUUUGUUGGUUUCUAGGACCGCCGUAAUGAUUAAUAGGGACAGUCGGGGGCAUCAGUAUUCAAUUGUCAGAGGUGAAAUUCUUAGAUUUAUUGAAGACUAACUACUGCGAAAGCAUUUGCCAAGGAUGUUUUCAUUAAUCAGGAACGAAAGUUAGGGGAUCGAAGACGAUCAGAUACCGUCGUAGUCUUAACCAUAAACUAUGCCGACUAGGGAUCGGACGAUGUUAUUUUUUGACGCGUUCGGCACCUUACGAGAAAUCAAAGUGCUUGGGCUCCAGGGGGAGUAUGGUCGCAAGGCUGAAACUUAAAGAAAUUGACGGAAGGGCACCACCAGGGGUGGAGCCUGCGGCUUAAUUUGACUCAACACGGGGAAACUCACCAGGUCCAGACACAAUGAGGAUUGACAGAUUGAGAGCUCUUUCUUGAUUUUGUGGGUGGUGGUGCAUGGCCGUUCUUAGUUGGUGGAGUGAUUUGUCUGCUUAAUUGCGAUAACGAACGAGACCUUAACCUGCUAAAUAGCCUGUAUUGCUUUGGCAGUACGCCAGGAUUAAGAGAGGGAAUAU